Passer domesticus (house sparrow) is the source of this 2433-nucleotide long non-coding RNA. RefSeq lists it as uncharacterized. The transcript has 3 exons. NCBI's taxonomy places the organism in Eukaryota, Metazoa, Chordata, Aves, Passeriformes, Passeridae. The record is from RefSeq and is a predicted model, not a curated record.
CGCUGUCUCUUUCCAAGUGCCUUGGUGAGCAGGGAGAGGUGGGAAGACAUACAACAGAGCCUGCACCCAGACUUGCAACAUCGAGUUGUUAAUAUCUUCAGUCUGAGAGUCAGGGGAGCACCUUAAGGGCAAGUUAUUGAUGUUUUUAUGUGCAAGGCUGUAAAUAAUUUGCCUACCAGACUGAUUUAUGUUGCUCAAUGUGGGGAAGCACUCAUAAUCUGCUACACGGUUUUUGUCUUCCUCUUGCCUGUGUUAGACCUCAACUACCAGAACAGGAAAUGUUGAUAAUUGUCUUUGUUACUUAUGACCAAUGAAGGUGACACACUGACUGUGUGAUGAUUCUCUGUGAUUUAAUUGGAUGAAUCACAUAAUAAUGUUAACCAUUUGUGUGCUUGAAUUCAGGUAACUGCUUUUCUUCUCAGUAAGCAGAAGAGUCUGCUGGUGCAGUCUGCUUUGUGCAAGGACUCCUUAUGCUGCCUUUGGUGAGGAUGAGUGGGAGACCCAAACACUGAGGGCUGUUUGUUAGGCUGCCCUCUAUGACAGUGCUUUUAUUCACUUUUAUGUUCUUCAUGAGUUUUAUUCUUGUGAUCUUGCUUCAGAAAAAGGAGAGCAGAAGCUGAGGUUGGAGAUUACUGUGAGAUACUUGGAAUAGCUCCUUGCCCUCACAACAUCUUUUUAGUUCUUCUUGACUGUGGGAAUCUGGGAAUACUUCACAGCUCUUGGGUUCAGCUGUAAGUUAAAGUGGAAGAAAACAGGAGGAUGGCAAGAUGGAAAAGAGAAGUGAGAGUUGAAAAAAAAGUAGAAUGUAAAACUCCAUAAUUCUCAGUACAGCAGAACAGUCAUGGUUCUAGCUGGAACAGCCAGUAGGAAGCAAAUAUUUUUGUGUGCAAUUUAAGGUUUGGUAUGAGGGUGCAUUCCCUUCCCUAAAGCUAAAAAAUAAAAGAUUAUACUAAAAAAGAUGGGAGUUUGAAAAUAUUCUAUGAUGUUCCCCACAGUUGUUCUUGUGGGGAACGAUGUGACAUAAAUUUUUUUAUCUUGGUUUUGACAUUAUGAAAGUGAAAAUACUUAGAUGGAAGAAGUAGUGAGUUCUUCAUGAGUGACCUGUGACCAGGACUGAUUAACAUCUAGUGAUUGCAGAAGCAACUAAGAGGCAGUAGAAAGGUGGGAACAGGAAAAAACCCCUGCAAGAUGUAGCAUAACAACCUAGUGGACUGGAUAUUACGUUUAAAAAAAAAAAGCUUUAUUUAACAAUACAGAGAUCUCUCAUAGCCAGCACCUGUAGUAUCUAACAAGUUUAACAAGUCAAGGGAAGUAAAUUUGCUUGUGGGAUAGCUUGUUGUUAUUUAUAGCACAAAUUGCUGAGACUUCAGGUGUUGCCACUGUGUCCUCACCAUCCUUUUUGGAAGCAUCACAACAGAAAUAAUUGCCAGAGAUUUGGGAAGCUGAAACCUUGUUCACCUGUGUGAAAAGUUGAAGGCCCCUGUGCUCCUGGGAAUUUUGACCACCUACAACUGCACUUAUAUUGACUUCACAAUGUCUUCCUUUUCCUGUAUUACAAGUGAAAAAGGCAUACUAUGCAAGACUUGGAUAACUUGAGGUAUAUUUUCUUGUGUCUAUGUAAGUGGAACUAGCAUGUUCUGAGGCAGGCACAAGCUUUUGGAUGAGGUUGCUUAAUGGUGUUGUGUAUUUCUCUGCUACGAGCCAGCUGUGGAAUAACAAUGAAAGGAGAGAUGUGCAACUCCCCAUUGCACUGACUUCGAGAGCUUCGUGGCUGUUCUGCAGACAGAUGCACAAUUGUGAAACAUCAAUAUGGACUGCAAAUCUCUACUGUCAGUCAGCUCCUCUUCCCCUCUGCAUAACGUAAUCCCUAUCUCCACAAUGCCUGCACAGAUACACAUUUGCAAAGAUGUUUUUCUGGAGAUAGCGUGCAUAGCAAACACUCCCUUACUUGUUCUCAUCUCUAGCAACAUUAUACAGAGUUUCAGUUCACAGUUCCCUGUGUUCCCCCUCCCACCGCUGAAAUGCAGCCAACUCCGAGCUGCGGCUAUUAAGCAUCACACAAGCAACACCACAAAACAGAUUGUGGAAAGCACAGGAAUUCACAGAAAAGCAACAAAUUGACAGAGGUCUGGGAAGUGAUAAUAAAGGAUCAUAGGGAAUGAAUUAUUCAUGAUGCAGAAUAGCCAUCACCUUGGUGUUCAGGUAGUACCAGCAUGCAAGGGCAAGUUUUUGAGGGUGGCAGAGUCACUAGGUGCAGUCAGGUUUCAGCAAGGGAGAUGAGCAGGUCAGCUUCCUUAACCACUGAGUUUUGUCAGUCUUUCAGAGUCCCAAGGAAAGGGCUGAAGGCAUCAUUGCCUGAGGGUUUUAGAACUGGUCAGUUUCAAGACAGGUGAAGGCACUUUGAGGGCAGAUGAAUAAAACAAGAUGGAGCAA